AAUGAACGUUGGCGGCGUGGAUUAGGCAUGCAAGUCGUACGCACAGCUUCGGCUGUGAGUGGCGCAAGGUGAGUAAUGCGAAGGUAACCAACCCUGGAGUUGGGCAUAACCGCGGGAAACUGCGGGUAAUUCCCAGCGAUGUCUCGAGAUGGCAUCAUCUUGCGACCAAAAGGUGUGAUUCCGCUCUAGGACGGGCCUUCGUGGUAUUAGGUAGUUGGUGAGGUAACGGCUCACCAAGCCGACGAUGCCUACCGGGUGUGAGAGCAUGACCCGGCACACUGGAACUGAGACACUGUCCAGACACCUACGGGUGGCUGCAGUCGAGAAUCUUCGGCAAUGGGCGAAAGCCUGACCGAGCGACGCCGCGUGAGGGAAGAAGGCCUCGGUUGU
This 390-nucleotide ribosomal RNA is filed under the name uncultured bacterium. RNAcentral's name for it is "bacterial SSU rRNA". It matches the Rfam family "Bacterial small subunit ribosomal RNA", at positions 29 to 426 of the family's 1533-position model. The record is from RNAcentral.